RNAcentral lists this ribosomal RNA (431 nucleotides) under uncultured bacterium. RNAcentral describes it as "partial 16S ribosomal RNA". It matches the Rfam family "Bacterial small subunit ribosomal RNA", at positions 29 to 507 of the family's 1533-position model. The record is from RNAcentral.
AGCGAACGCUGGCGGCAGGCCUAACACAUGCAAGUCGAGCGCCCCGCACGGGGAGCGGCAGACGGGAGAGUAACACGUGGGAACAUACCUUUUGGUUCGGAACAACUGAGGGAAACUUCAGCUAAUACCGGAUAAGCCCUUACGGGGAAAGAUUUAUCGGCGAAAGAUUGGCCCGCGUCUGAUUAGCUAGUUGGUGAGGUAACGGCUCACCAAGGCGACGAUCAGUAGCUGGUCUGAGAGGAUGAUCAGCCUCACUGGGACUGAGACACGGCCCAGACUCCUACGGGAGGCAGCAGUGGGGAAUAUUGGACAAUGGGGGCAACCCUGAUCCAGCCAUGCCGCGUGAGUGAUGAAGGCCUUAGGGUUGUAAAGCUCUUUUGCCCGGGAAGAUAAUGACGGUACCGGGAGAAUAAGCCCCGGCUAACUUCGUG